UAGGGAAUCUUCCACAAUGGGCGCAAGCCUGAUGGAGCAACACCGCGUGAGUGAAGAAGGGUUUCGGAUCGUAAAACUCUGUUGUUAGAAAGAACAAGGGUGAGAGUAACUGUUCACCCCUUGACGGUAUCUAACCAGAAAGCCACGGCUAACUACGUGCCAG
Molecule: ribosomal RNA, 163 nt
Filed under: uncultured bacterium
Lineage: Bacteria
Description: partial 16S ribosomal RNA
Rfam family: Bacterial small subunit ribosomal RNA
Source: RNAcentral